GAUGAACGCUGGCGGCGUGCCUAAUACAUGCAAGUCGAGCGAACAGAUAAGGAGCUUGCUCCUUUGACGUUAGCGGCGGACGGGUGAGUAACACGUGGGUAACCUACCUAUAAGACUGGGAUAACUUCGGGAAACCGGAGCUAAUACCGGAUAAUAUUUCGAACCGCAUGGUUCGAUAGUGAAAGAUGGUUUUGCUAUCACUUAUAGAUGGACCCGCGCCGCAUUAGCUAGUUGGUAAGGUAACGGCUUACCAAGGCGACGAUGCGUAGCCGACCUGAGAGGGUGAUCGGCCACACUGGAACUGAGACACGGUCCAGACUCCUACGGGAGGCAGCAGUAGGGAAUCUUCCGCAAUGGGCGAAAGCCUGACGGAGCAACGCCGCGUGAGUGAUGAAGGUCUUCGGAUCGUAAAACUCUGUCAUUAGGGAAGAACAUACGUGUAAGUAACUGUGCACGUCUUGACGGUACCUAAUCAGAAAGCCACGGCUAACUACGUG
RNAcentral lists this ribosomal RNA (497 nucleotides) under uncultured bacterium. Its description in RNAcentral is "partial 16S ribosomal RNA". It matches the Rfam family "Bacterial small subunit ribosomal RNA", at positions 28 to 507 of the family's 1533-position model. The record is from RNAcentral.